UAGUAUCCCAUUUGCUAGUUGUUUUUUUGCUCUCUCUCUUUCCUCCAUAUCAACAAAAAGCUAGUUCAAAAUAAAUCUACCUUGUCGUGGACCUUAAGGAUCCAAAAACUAGCAUCUCCUACCCAACUAAAAAGACGAGGACAUUGUUUUGAUGCGACUUUUGCCUUCGUCCUGCCUCUCCCUCCCAUGCGUCCCCGUCCCCGUUUUUGGAAACACCCGAUCGUUGCGAUCCCCUACCCCUUCUCUACCGCGCCCCAUUCCCCUCCGAUCCGCAACAAACACAUUCUCCCCUCAGAUCCGCAAGAGACGCGCCCUGAUCCCGCGAUUCCCCGCAAUCCCAUGCCCCGAUCCCCUCCCUGGACGCCCGAUCUCGGCCAUGGCCGCGAGCUAUCGAGCGUCGUCGCAACCGCUGCCAUGAGCGCUGUCGCAACCGCCGCCAUGAGUGCCGUCGCAACCGCCGCCACGAGUGCGUUGUGACUGCCGCCACAUCCCUGGACGAGAUCGCUGUCGGGACCACCACCAUCUCCCUGGACGAGAGCGCCGUCGGGACCAACGCCACGAGCAUCCGAGGCCGCCGGCGGCAACCGUGGUAUGCAAACGCACGGCUCCCCCUUCCUUUUCCCCCUCUCCUGACUUCGUGGUAUGCAAACGCAAGACUUUUUGCGCCGCCAGGUGGGACAGGCGCGGUGUCCCAUGCCCUUGCUCCCCCGCACCCGGCCACGCCUCGCGCAACUCCGCCUGCCUUUCACGGUUCCGCCUCGCCUCCCCGCAUGACCCGUGCAAAGAUCUCGGAGAUUCGUUCGCCGCCCGGUGCCCCCGACUUCGCGACGCCCUCGACAGCCAUCGCCACCGUCAGGGCCGCCAGCACCGCCGCCUUCUGCUCAAUGUCGGCGCAAUCGCCGUACCAGAGAGCCUCCUCACGAUCUGAACCUGGCCAUUGUCUAGGGGGCAGGGGCUUUCUUGCAGUUCCUUUUUGAUAACCUGUUUGUUUCUUCCUUGAAUUGUAGGCAUGUCAAGAUGACGAUUUUGCACUACAAUUCAUAAGGUACCUCCUCAUAGUCCUUCAACAGACUUAGUUUUGAUGUUUGACUGAAUUUUGAUGCUUGGUGUGGCAUUGUGUUGGACAUGCUGCAUCUAGCUUUUAAGGAACAGAACAAAGAUUUGGCUUGUGCAUCCAUAAUGACAAAGUUUAUUCAGGGGCUUAGAUAACUCAUGGACUGGGUUUUGAAGGUUUCUGCAUAACAUGUAAUGCAGCCAUACUUUCAGUUUUGCUCUUGAAUCAUCAGUAUUGAAUAAUGAAAAGUAGAAGACCUUUCUUUAGAGGCUUCAGGGCUUAUUGACAAUAUCACCUUAUGAUUUCUAUUCUAAUUGGUUCAAGUUGUUGAUGUAAACCCUUCAUAUUGUUGGGAUCUCACAUGGCAAACUCAAAAUCCCCAACCAACAAAAGUUGGCCUUAUUACUUCACUAAGGAUAAAGUGAAGGGGAAGGGUUUUAAUCCUGCGUGGUGGUGCGAUGUGCCAAUUGUUUGUCAAGGGCUGCAUUGUCGUCUAAAGUGACACUGCCGCAAGAUUCACCUGCCUUGGUAUGGACUCAAGUGUAGAAUGUCUCCAAUGCAGUGUGUUUAUGUGAAUAUUUUUGUCGUGUGGAUGAUAGCUGUGAGAAUGGAAGUUGAGAGUUGAGAAUUAGAACUUGAUGUGUGCUCCCAUAAUUAGUAGAACAGAAUGGAUGAUAAGUUGUAGCUAUGUGAGGACAAUGUUGUGUACUUGGCAAAUGUGAUCUGUAAUGUGUUGGCACUGCUAUAUGUUUAUGCACAAAGCAUUAUUAGCUACUUGUUUUGAUCUUCGAUUAGUUGGACAAUAUCAUUUAA
Molecule: long non-coding RNA, 1867 nt
Organism: Sorghum bicolor (sorghum)
Lineage: Eukaryota; Viridiplantae; Streptophyta; Magnoliopsida; Poales; Poaceae
Exons: 4
Source: RefSeq, a predicted model, not a curated record